Molecule: ribosomal RNA, 464 nt
Filed under: Aureobasidium melanogenum
Lineage: Eukaryota; Fungi; Ascomycota; Dothideomycetes; Dothideales; Saccotheciaceae
Description: partial large subunit ribosomal RNA
Rfam family: Eukaryotic large subunit ribosomal RNA
Source: RNAcentral
GUGAAACGCCAGUCUAAGUUCCUUGGAACAGGACGUCAUAGAGGGUGAGAAUCCCGUAUGUGACUGGAAAUGUUAACCUAUGUAAAGCUCCUUCGACGAGUCGAGUUGUUUGGGAAUGCAGCUCUAAAUGGGAGGUAAAUUUCUUCUAAAGCUAAAUAUUGGCGAGAGACCGAUAGCGCACAAGUAGAGUGAUCGAAAGAUGAAAAGCACUUUGGAAAGAGAGUUAAAAAGCACGUGAAAUUGUUGAAAGGGAAGCGCUUGCAAUCAGACUUGUUUAAACUGUUCGGCCGGUCUUCUGACCGGUUUACUCAGUUUGGACAGGCCAGCAUCAGUUUCGGCGGCCGGAUAAAGGCUCUGGGAAUGUGGCCUUCACUUCGGUGAAGGUGUUAUAGCCCAGGGUGUAAUACGGCCAGCCGGGACUGAGGUCCGCGCUUCGGCUAGGAUGCUGGCGUAAUGGUUGUAAG